RNAcentral lists this ribosomal RNA (281 nucleotides) under uncultured Bacteroidota bacterium. Its description in RNAcentral is "uncultured Bacteroidetes bacterium partial 16S ribosomal RNA". It matches the Rfam family "Bacterial small subunit ribosomal RNA", at positions 65 to 339 of the family's 1533-position model. The record is from RNAcentral. Lineage: Bacteria; Pseudomonadati; Bacteroidota.
AGGGGCAGCAUGGUCUUAGCUUGCUAAGGCUGAUGGCGACCGGCGCACGGGUGAGUAACGCGUAUGCAACCUGCCCGAUACCGGGGUAUAGCCCAUGGAAACGUGGAUUAACACCCCAUAGUACUUUUAUCCUGCCUGGGAUGGGAGUUAAAUGUUCAAGGUAUCGGAUGGGCAUGCGUCCUAUUAGUUAGUUGGCGGGGUAACAGCCCACCAAGACGAUGAUAGGUAGGGGUUCUGAGAGGAAGGUCCCCACAUUGGAACUGAGACACGGUCCAAACUCC